AUUGAACGCUGGCGGCAUGCCUUACACAUGCAAGUCGAACGGUAACAGGUCUUCGGAUGCUGACGAGUGGCGAACGGGUGAGUAAUACAUCGGAACGUGCCCGAUCGUGGGGGAUAACGAAGCGAAAGCUUUGCUAAUACCGCAUAAGAUCUACGGAUGAAAGCGGGGGACCGCAAGGCCUUGCGCGAACGGAGCGGCCGAUGGCAGAUUAGGUAGUUGGUGGGAUAAAAGCUUACCAAGCCGACGAUCUGUAGCUGGUCUGAGAGGACGACCAGCCACACUGGGACUGAGACACGGCCCAGACUCCUACGGGAGGCAGCAGUGGGGAAUUUGGGACAAUGGGCGAAAGCCUGAUCCAGCCAUGCCGCGUGCAGGAUGAAGGCCUUCGGGUUGUAAACUGCUUUUGUACGGAACGAAAAGACUCUUUCUAAUAAAGAGGGUCCAUGACGGUACCGUAAGAAUAAGCACCGGCUAACUACGUGCCAGCAGCCGCCGUAA
RNAcentral lists this ribosomal RNA (498 nucleotides) under uncultured bacterium. RNAcentral's name for it is "partial 16S ribosomal RNA". It matches the Rfam family "Bacterial small subunit ribosomal RNA", at positions 30 to 523 of the family's 1533-position model. The record is from RNAcentral.